CUACACUAGAGGACAACAGUUGGAAACGACUGCUAAUACUCUAUACUCCUCUUUAACAUAAGUUAGAUAGGGAAAGUUUUUCGGUGUAGGAUGAGGCUAUAUUGUAUCAGCUAGUUGGUGAGGUAAUGGCUCACCAAGGCUAUGACGCAUAACUGGUCUGAGAGGAUGAUCAGUCACACUGGAACUGAGACACGGUCCAGACUCCUACGGGAGGCAGCAGUAGGGAAUAUUGCUCAAUGGGGGAAACCCUGAAGCAGCAACGCCGCGUGGAGGAUGACACUUUUCGGAGCGUAAACUCCUUUUGUUAGGGAAGAACAAUGACGGUACCUAACGAAUAAGCACCGGCUAACUCCGUGCCAGCAGCCGCGGUAAUACGGAGGGUGCAAGCGUUACUCGGAAUCACUGGGCGUAAAGGACGCGUAGGCGGAUUAUCAAGUCUCUUGUGAAAUCCUAUGGCUUAACCAUAGAACUGCUUGGGAAACUGAUAAUCUAGAGUGAGGGAGAGGCAGAUGGAAUUGGUGGUGUAGGGGUAAAAUCCGUAGAGAUCACCAGGAAUACCCAUUGCGAAGGCGAUCUGCUGGAACUCAACUGACGCUAAUGCGUGAAAGCGUGGGGAGCAAACAGGAUUAGAUACCCUGGUAGUCCACGCCCUAAACGAUGUAUACUAGUUGUUGCUAAGCUAGUCUUGGCAGUAAUGCACCUAACGGAUUAAGUAUACCGCCUGGGGAGUACGGUCGCAAGAUUAAAACUCAAAGGAAUAGACGGGGACCCGCACAAGCGGUGGAGCAUGUGGUUUAAUUCGAAGAUACGCGAAGAACCUUACCCGGACUUGAUAUCUAACAAAUCAUCUAGAGAUAGAAGAGUGUCUGCUCGCAGAAAUGUUAAGACAGGUGCUGCACGGCUGUCGUCAGCUCGUGUCGUGAGAUGUUGGGUUAAGUCCCGCAACGAGCGCAACCCACGUCAUUAGUUGCUAACAGUUCGGCUGAGCACUCUAAUGAGACUGCCUUCGUAAGGAGGAGGAAGGUGUGGACGACGUCAAGUCAUCAUGGCCCUUAUGUCCGGGGCGACA
Molecule: ribosomal RNA, 1069 nt
Filed under: Campylobacter concisus
Lineage: Bacteria; Pseudomonadati; Campylobacterota; Epsilonproteobacteria; Campylobacterales; Campylobacteraceae
Description: bacterial SSU rRNA
Rfam family: Bacterial small subunit ribosomal RNA
Source: RNAcentral